RNAcentral lists this ribosomal RNA (342 nucleotides) under Rhodospirillaceae bacterium. RNAcentral describes it as "bacterial SSU rRNA". It matches the Rfam family "Bacterial small subunit ribosomal RNA", at positions 1 to 359 of the family's 1533-position model. The record is from RNAcentral. Lineage: Bacteria; Pseudomonadati; Pseudomonadota; Alphaproteobacteria; Rhodospirillales; Rhodospirillaceae.
CAACCUAAGAGUUUGAUCCUGGCUCAGAACGAACGCUGGCGGCAGGCCUAACACAUGCAAGUCGAACGUGAAGCCGCCCUUCGGGGCGGUGGAAAGUGGCGCACGGGUGAGUAACGCGUGGGAACCAACCCUGAGGUACGGAAUAACGGCUGGAAACGGCUGCUAAUACCGUAUGUGCCCUACGGGGGAAAGAUUUAUCGCCUUGGGACGGGCCCGCGUCGGAUUAGCUUGUUGGUGGGGUAACGGCCCACCAAGGCUCCGAUCCGUAGCUGGUCUGAGAGGAUGAUCAGCCACACUGGAACUGAGACACGGUCCAGACUCCUACGGGAGGCAGCAGUGGGG